GAUGAACGCUGGCGGCGUGCCUAAUACAUGCAAGUCGAACGAAACUUCUUUAUCACCGAGUGCUUGCACUCACCGAUAAAGAGUUGAGUGGCGAACGGGUGAGUAACACGUGGGCAACCUGCCCAAAAGAGGGGGAUAACACUUGGAAACAGGUGCUAAUACCGCAUAACCAUAGUUACCGCAUGGUAACUAUGUAAAAGGUGGCUAUACUACCGCUUUUGGAUGGGCCCGCGGCGCAUUAGCUAGUUGGUAGGGUAAAGGCUUACCAAGGCAAUGAUGCGUAGCCGAAUUGAGAGGUUGAUCGGCCACAUUGGGACUGAGACACGGCCCAAACUCCUACGGGAGGCAGCAGUAGGGAAUCUUCCACAGUGGGCGAAAGCCUGAUGGAGCAACGCCGCGUGGGUGAAGAAGGUCUUCGGAUCGUAAAACCCUGUUGUUAGAGAAGAAAGUGCGUGAGAGUAACUGUUCACGUUUCGACGGUAUCUAACCAGAAAGCCACGGCUAACUACGUG
This 512-nucleotide ribosomal RNA is filed under the name uncultured bacterium. RNAcentral describes it as "partial 16S ribosomal RNA". It matches the Rfam family "Bacterial small subunit ribosomal RNA", at positions 28 to 507 of the family's 1533-position model. The record is from RNAcentral.